This 673-nucleotide long non-coding RNA is filed under the name Phoenix dactylifera (date palm). Its description in RNAcentral is "long non-coding RNA (PDAC_LNC017046)". Lineage: Eukaryota; Viridiplantae; Streptophyta; Magnoliopsida; Arecales; Arecaceae. The record is from RNAcentral.
AUUAAAUAUCACAGCAUAUUUCGAAUAAGUAUAUUUUGUAAUACGAAUAAGUUUUUAACAAGUAGAAUAAACUUUAAUUUUAAUAAAGUAGGAUGUUGCCAUAGUGGCUAGGUGGCUUUUAAUUAACCGCCAGUAUUCUAUUAUUUCAUUUCUACGGUCACAUUAUUCUAUUCCUUCACUCUGAGCGCUGCACAUGCUUGGCAUGGUCGAUAAUAACUGCACGUAACCCAACUACGAGACAAAUUUGUGCAACAGUUUCAGGCAUGACCGGAAAAGAAAGAAAUACAAACACCUCUCGUCCUCUUCUUCUUCUUCUUCUUCUUCUUCUUCUUCUUCUUUUCUUCUUUUUUUUAACAAUAAUUCAUAUAGCUCUAACGUAAGUACAUCCUGUUAAGUCAAGAGAGAGUAAAAAUAUAAAAGUUAGAGAAUAUCCUCUAUCGAUGUCCACAAAAACUCUCCAAAAUAUUGGACGAUGAAGAAGGCAACCCAGUCCGCAGCACUAUUCGCCUCCAUGAACACAUGUAAUAUCUAAACCUCCCUAAACUCUUGGAUCAGUCUGCAACACUCUCGGAUGAGAGGAUGGCCAUCACUGUACUUAUCCACUCUCCGGAUCCAAUUAAUCACGAUUGAUGAAUCACCCUCAAGGUGCACACACUCUGCGGCCAACGCACUC